GUCAGCGGGGCUACCUGGCCGAUAUGCUAACUACCCAGUGGACCGGCUGCCUCGCUGUCAGUGGAAAGAAAGAAAGUAUCAAUAUUGAAUUUGUGGAAAUUCGCUCCGCAAUAAAGUGGAUCUUGUGGAAGAAUUCAAACAAAGGCUUUUAAACAUUGCUUUGGACUGGAUUAUUUUGGUUAUGGCAAAGGAUACGAAAGCUUAUUUUGCCUAAAGAAAGGAAUGCCUUUCUGAGAGGCUUUCUAAAUGGAACUGGCUCAUAUCGACAUUGCGCAUGGAGAAAAUCACGAAAACUCCCACGCUGGAACUUUUUUGAGGAUUUGAACAAUGGACAAACUAACAAUUUUCAGUUAUUUAACCAUUUGGUCACUAAUGGGUCUUAAGAAUUGUUUUAAUUAUUAAACCAAUUAAACCAACUCUAAAAUAUAUGUAGAUUUGAAAUAUGUAAUAAAAAAAUAUGCAAUUUUUGAACCUA
Stegodyphus dumicola is the source of this 475-nucleotide long non-coding RNA. NCBI's taxonomy places the organism in Eukaryota, Metazoa, Arthropoda, Arachnida, Araneae, Eresidae. The record is from RefSeq and is a predicted model, not a curated record.